UGGUGGAGUGAUUUGUCUGGUUAAUUCCGAUAACGAACGAGACCUUAACCUGCUAAAUAGCCAGGCCGGCUUUUGCUGGUCGCAGACUUCUUAGAGGGACUGUCAGCGUCUAGCUGACGGAAGUUUGAGGCAAUAACA
Molecule: ribosomal RNA, 138 nt
Filed under: uncultured eukaryote
Lineage: Eukaryota
Description: partial 18S ribosomal RNA
Rfam family: Eukaryotic small subunit ribosomal RNA
Source: RNAcentral